Apis cerana (Asiatic honeybee) is the source of this 1401-nucleotide long non-coding RNA. RefSeq lists it as uncharacterized. Lineage: Eukaryota; Metazoa; Arthropoda; Insecta; Hymenoptera; Apidae. The record is from RefSeq and is a predicted model, not a curated record.
AGUUUGAAAAAAAUUUAUUUCUUGGCAUUACAUUAUUUACCUAAGAACGCUUCAAAUAUAAUCAACACUAUCUUCUUACACCUUACGCUUCUUUCCAUAUUAAUUGCACUGUUCUCUUUCUCUUUUUCACACAUUUGCCGAUUUAGAAGUGCGACGAGUGCUUCCUUCUUGUCUAUCUCUGUCAAAUCAUUCCCCUACGAGCACUUCGAACACUCAUAGGGGAAUGACUGUGUUCGGUUAUUUGUCAGGGAUAUAUGUAAUCGCGCGCACGCGUGCUUCCAGUCUUUGAAAAUCUACAUACGUCACUCUAUCCGUUUCUCUUCUCCCUUCUUCUCCAUCUCAUUUCUUCCCUCUUCCUUUCGUUCCGUACAUUUGUCUCGCCGCAACAUGUGCGUUCCUCCUUUUUAACCACCCUUCGAAGCAUUCUGGUCUUAACUCCAGUCUCACGCGCCUCAUGAUGCAACAGAUUGUGAUUAUAUCGUGCAAAUUAUCAACCCUAGGGGGCAUAUCAAGCGGAAUAUCAACCGCAAAACAUCAUAUAACUUAGAAUAGUCUAAUUGCGAAAUGUUAUACGAUCGAUUUAUUAAUACUAGAACAACCUAACCUAGUCAAAUUGACAUUGAUUUCAAAAUUUUUGUUUUUUUAUAUUAUUGAAUUUGCGCUCCAAUCUGAAUUUUAUUCAUUGAAACGAAAUUUAUGUCAAUUAAAUGAACUCUAAAUGAAUUAUUAUUUGAACUAAUAAACGUUGAACAUUAUUAAACAAAAAUGUUAAUGGUUUUAAUAUUAGAUAAAGGACUUUCGGUUUCCUACGAGCGAUCGUUGAUCGAUUUUGGCUAGGUUUUUGCCUUUCGUUGAUUAUGCGAAGAUUGAUUUUCUAUUUGACGGCAACGCGUGACCGUGCGUCACGCGAUUAACAGCUUUGCGAGUAUAUCAUGUCCAAAAAUAUUGGAUACUUGCUAUUUUAAGAUAUUGCGUAUUUUUCAAUAUUUAUAAAUUUUAUUAUGAAUUAUCUAAUUUAAUUUAUUUAUAUAAUUUAUUACAUAAAUAAUGUUAAUAAGUUGUAUAAAUUAUUUGUAAUAAUGAUUGUUAAUUAUUCAUAUACUGUUAAAAAAAAUUAUCAUGACAUUUCUACUGAAAUGAUGAAAUUAACGAAGUCAAUAUACAUAUAAUAUAUUGAUACAGAAGAAAUAAGAUUCUUCUUUUGUAUUUUGUGCAAAUAAAUAUUUUGAAAUAUAAUAUAAUAUUAUAUCAUACAUAUCGACGGCAUUCUAUUAUAUGUAAUCGCAAUCAAAAUACAAGAAAUGUGCAUGAAAUAAAAAAUUGCAGCUUUUAAAUCAUAAAAUUAAAUACGUAAUAUAUUGUUAUAUAGGAUAAGAAUAUAAAUUAUUGUACCCAUUAAAA